Molecule: ribosomal RNA, 698 nt
Filed under: uncultured Mycobacterium sp.
Lineage: Bacteria; Bacillati; Actinomycetota; Actinomycetes; Mycobacteriales; Mycobacteriaceae
Description: bacterial SSU rRNA
Rfam family: Bacterial small subunit ribosomal RNA
Source: RNAcentral
GCACUUCGGGAUAAGCCUGGGAAACUGGGUCUAAUACCGAAUAGGACCAUUUAGCGCAUGCUUUAUGGUGGAAAGCUUUUGCGGUGUGGGAUGGGCCCGCGGCCUAUCAGCUUGUUGGUGGGGUGACGGCCUACCAAGGCGACGACGGGUAGCCGGCCUGAGAGGGUGUCCGGCCACACUGGGACUGAGAUACGGCCCAGACUCCUACGGGAGGCAGCAGUGGGGAAUAUUGCACAAUGGGCGCAAGCCUGAUGCAGCGACGCCGCGUGGGGGAUGACGGCCUUCGGGUUGUAAACCUCUUUCACCAUCGACGAAGGUCCGGGUUUUCUCGGAUUGACGGUAGGUGGAGAAGAAGCACCGGCCAACUACGUGCCAGCAGCCGCGGUAAUACGUAGGGUGCGAGCGUUGUCCGGAAUUACUGGGCGUAAAGAGCUCGUAGGUGGUUUGUCGCGUUGUUCGUGAAAACUCACGGCUUAACUGUGAGCGUGCGGGCGAUACGGGCAGACUGGAGUACUGCAGGGGAGACUGGAAUUCCUGGUGUAGCGGUGGAAUGCGCAGGUAUCAGGAGGAACACCGGUGGCGAAGGCGGGUCUCUGGGCAGUAACUGGCGCUGAGGAGCGAAAGCGUGGGGAGCGAACAGGAUUAGAUACCCUGGUAGUCCACGCCGUAAACGGUGGGUACUAGGUGUGGGUUUCCUU